UUGGGGGAUGGGUUCUGUGCACUGUGUUUUCAGAUACUGAUUCCCAUGCCCAGACAGCUGGCAGCAGUCUAGAUGAAGGCCAGGUCAAGCAUCUCUGGUCUCAAUGUCAUGUAAAAAUUGUUUUCCAUCACUUCUGAUUUGUUAGUAAAAGAGCCGGUCAGCCAAUGAGCUGGGCAGAAGAAAUAGGGCGGGACUCCCGAUCCUAGUCAUGGGACCCUGCCCGCCCCAGAUUUCCCAAUUCCAGCGUGGGGUUAAAGAAAAGUAGCCAUGGGAACACAGGAACAUCAGGCUCACCGGAAUACAUGAGAUGAUGGGGAACUGGAACCCUUGGAGGCUCUCUGUAUUUUAUGGGAUGACUUGUAUUUGCUUGAUGUCCAGUCUGU
Molecule: long non-coding RNA, 383 nt
Filed under: Rattus norvegicus (Norway rat)
Lineage: Eukaryota; Metazoa; Chordata; Mammalia; Rodentia; Muridae
Description: partial HAfT7 variant X1
Source: RNAcentral